UUCAAGUUGUGCAAAUGGUCAAAGUUGUGUAACUGGUCAAAGUUGUGUAACUGGUCAAAGUUGUGUAACUGGUCAAAGUUGUGUAACUGGUCAAAGUUGUGUAACUGGUCAAAGUUGUGUAACUGGUCAAAGUUGUGUAACUGGUCAAAGUUGUGUAACUGGUCAAAGUUGUGUAACUGGUCAAAGUUGUGUAACUGGUCAAAGUUGUGUAACUGGUCAAAGUUGUGUAACUGGUCAAAGUUGUGUAACUGGUCAAAGUUAUGAA
Molecule: long non-coding RNA, 265 nt
Organism: Bradysia coprophila
Lineage: Eukaryota; Metazoa; Arthropoda; Insecta; Diptera; Sciaridae
Source: RefSeq, a predicted model, not a curated record